UGAUUUUAUGCUUGCAUAAAUGAUUUUUGGAUUCGGAGCGAGUGGCGAACUGGUGAGUAACACGUGGGUAACCUGCCCCGAAGCGGGGGAUAACAUUUGGAAACAAGUGCUAAUACCGCAUAAUUAGUUGGAACCGCAUGGUUCCAACUUGAAAGAUGGCUCUGCUAUCACUUUGGGAUGGACCCGCGCCGUAUUAGUUAGUUGGUGAGAUAAAAGCCCACCAAGACGAUGAUACGUAGCCGACCUGAGAGGGUAAUCGGCCACAUUGGGACUGAGACACGGCCCAGACUCCUACGGGAGGCAGCAGUAGGGAAUCUUCCACAAUGGACGAAAGUCUGAUGGAGCAACGCCGCGUGAGUGAUGAAGGUUUUCGGAUCGUAAAAAYUCUGUUGUUAAAGAAGAACAAGUGUUAGAGUAACUGUUAACACUUUGACGGUAUUUAACCAGAAAGCCACGGCUAACUACGUGCCAGCAGCCGCGGUAAUACGUAGGUGGCAAGCGUUGUCCGGAUUUAUUGGGCGUAAAGCGAGCGCAGGCGGUUUUGUAAGUCUGCUGUGAAAGCCCUCAGCUCAACUGAGGAAGUGCAGUGGAAACUACAAAACUUGAGUACAGAAGAGGAAAGUGGAACUCCAUGGUGUAGCGGUGAAAUGCGUAGAUAUAUGGAAGAACACCAGUGGCGAAGGCGGCUUUCUGGUCUGUUACUGACGCUGAGGCUCGAAAGCAUGGGUAGCGAACAGGAUUAGAUACCCUGGUAGUCCAUGCCGUAAACGAUGAAUACUAGGUGGUUGGAAGGGUUUCCGCCCUUCAGUGCCGCAGCUAACGCAUUAAGUAUUCCGCCCKGGGGAGUACGACCGCAAGGUUGAAACUCAAAGGAAUUGACGGGGGCCCGCACAAGUGGUGGAGCAUGUGGUUUAAUUCGAUGCUACGCGAAGAACCUUACCAGCUCUUGACAUCUUCUGCCAACCCAAGAGAUUGGGCGUUCCCUUCGGGGACAGAAUGACAGGUGGUGCAUGGUUGUCGUCAGCUCGUGUCGUGAGAUGUUGGGUUAAGUCCCGCAACGAGCGCAACCCUUAUUAUUAGUUGCCAGCAUUUAGUUGGGCACUCUAGUGAGACUGCCGGUGAUAAACCGGAGGAAGGUGGGGACGACGUCAAAUCAUCAUGCCCCUUAUGAGCUGGGCUACACACGUGCUACAAUGGAUGGUACAACGAGUCGCGAAACCGCGAGGUCAAGCUAAUCUCUUAAAGCCAUUCUCAGUUCGGAUUGCAGGCUGCAACUCGCCUGCAUGAAGUUGGAAUCACUAGUAAUCGUGGAUCAGCAUGCCACGGUGAAUACGUUCCCGGGCCUUGUACACACCGCCCGUCACACCAUGAGAGUUUGUAACACCCAAAGACG
Molecule: ribosomal RNA, 1393 nt
Filed under: Apilactobacillus sp.
Lineage: Bacteria; Bacillati; Bacillota; Bacilli; Lactobacillales; Lactobacillaceae
Description: bacterial SSU rRNA
Source: RNAcentral